UACGGGGGGUGCAAGCGUUGUCCGGAAUCACUGGGCGUAAAGGGCGCGUAGGUGGUUUGAUAAAGGUGUGGUGAAAGCCCGGGGCUCAACCCCGGGUCUGCCGUGCCGACUGUCAAACUCGAGGGCUGUAGAGGCAGACGGAAUUCCGGGUGUAGCGGUGGAAUGCGUAGAGAUCCGGAGGAACACCAGCGGCGAAGGCGGCAUCCUGGACUGGUCCUGACACUCAUGAGCGAAAGCGUGGGGAGCGAUCCGG
RNAcentral lists this ribosomal RNA (253 nucleotides) under uncultured bacterium. RNAcentral's name for it is "partial 16S ribosomal RNA". It matches the Rfam family "Bacterial small subunit ribosomal RNA", at positions 524 to 776 of the family's 1533-position model. The record is from RNAcentral.